AAGACUCUGUAAAGUAGCACACUGUGAAAGAUGCAGAGGUAUAGGCUGAUUAAAGAGGUUAUUUGCAAGAUUGAGAUGGACAAGAUUAGGAAGUUCACAGAUAGAAGAUGAAAUUGAACCUGAAAGAUUGAAACUUACGAGGUUAAUAGAAGAUACGGAAGAAGACGAAGAUGUACAAGUGAUACCACUCCAGUUACAUUCACUUGUCGAGUGUUUAGACCAGCUUGAAAGAAGGUUUAAA
Molecule: unclassified non-coding RNA, 241 nt
Filed under: Hevea brasiliensis (rubber tree)
Lineage: Eukaryota; Viridiplantae; Streptophyta; Magnoliopsida; Malpighiales; Euphorbiaceae
Source: RNAcentral